ACGUAGGGUGCUAGCGUUAUCCGGAAUUACUGGGCGUAAAGGGUGCGCAGGUGGUUUCUUAAGUCAGAGGUGAAAGGCUACGGCUCAACCGUAGUAAGCCUUUGAAACUGGAAACUUUAGUGCAGGGGAGGAGAGGGGAAUUCCUAGUGUAGCGGUGAAAUGCGUAGAUAUUAGGCGGAACACCAGUUGCGAAGGCGGCUCUCUGUACUGUAACUGACACUGAUGCACGAAAGCGUGGGGAGCAAACAG
Molecule: ribosomal RNA, 249 nt
Filed under: uncultured prokaryote
Description: partial 16S rRNA
Rfam family: Bacterial small subunit ribosomal RNA
Source: RNAcentral